GAGUUUGAUCUUGGCUCAGAUUGAACGCUGGCGGCAUGCCUUACACAUGCAAGUCGAACGGCAGCACGGGAGCUUGCUCCUGGUGGCGAGUGGCGAACGGGUGAGUAAUGCAUCGGAACGUAUCCUGGAGUGGGGGAUAACGUAGCGAAAGUUACGCUAAUACCGCAUAUUCUGUGAGCAGGAAAGCGGGGGACCUUCGGGCCUCGCGCUCUUGGAGCGGCCGAUGUCGGAUUAGCUAGUUGGUGAGGUAAAGGCUCACCAAGGCGACGAUCCGUAGCAGGUCUGAGAGGAUGAUCUGCCACACUGGAACUGAGACACGGUCCAGACUCCUACGGGAGGCAGCAGUGGGAAUUUUGGACAAUGGGGGCAACCCUGAUCCAGCCAUGCCGCGUGAGUGAAGAA
RNAcentral lists this ribosomal RNA (402 nucleotides) under bacterium enrichment culture clone ALO1_GLFRUDD03GKJIG. RNAcentral describes it as "bacterial SSU rRNA". It matches the Rfam family "Bacterial small subunit ribosomal RNA", at positions 9 to 412 of the family's 1533-position model. The record is from RNAcentral.